GGGAGGCCGGUCGGGGCUGGGCUCAGGGGCCGAGACCUAGCUGGGCUUGGGGCGGGGCCGAGACGGAGCGAGGGGUCCAGGGCGUGGGAAACGGGGAGGGGUUUGAGGAGGGGAUCGGAAUGUGGCUCAAGUUCGGGAGGCGUUACCUGCGGAGGGUUUGAGGCAGGUCCAGGAGCGAGCCCACGGUCCGCCGACGCGGGACCAGGGGCGGGCCCCAGGAUCCGGAGCUUCGGGCGGGGCCGAGUCCGGGUUUGGGGCCCGGAAGGCGGGGCCAGUUAGGGCGAGGGUCCCUGGGAUCGUCAGGUCAGGCCUUGGGCUAACGUAGGCACUCUCGCAGUUCCUCCGCCUUCAGGAAAGUCUUUUUAGCAGGGGCCUUACGGGUUCGCGCUUUGGUCCUGGAGGCCUUAUCCUAGCCUCCUCUGUAUCAGCGCCACCAGUCUGGGGCCCGAAAGGAGGGAGCUUUCCCUCUGUCCCCCAGCCUUUGGACUGUCACCAAACAAGCCAUUCGUUCACCAAAUACUUAUUAAGCGCCUACCAUGUGCCUGACAAGGGAGAUGUAACGAUAGAGUCUCUCUCUCUGCCACCCAGGCCAGAGUGCAGUUGACGCAGGGCAGGGGAGCCCCGAAGUGGAGCAUAGUGUGUCCGGAACUGGUGGGUUCUUGGUCUCCCUGACUUCAAGAAUGAAGCCACGGACCCUCGGGAAACUCCUGGAGGGCAGAGGCAUGCCUGCCAUCUUCAUCAUUGCAUUACCACCACCCAACACUAUCGGGGGACCUGCCCUGAUAAUCAGUCUACAGGUGUAUCCAGCAGCUCCAGAGAGACAGCGACCAGCGAGAAGGGGCCAUGAUGAUGGUGGUGGUUUUGUCAAAACGAAAAGGGGGAUAUGUAGGGAAAAGAAAGAGAGAUCAGACUGUUACUGUGUCUACAUAGAAAGGGAAGCCAUAAGAGACUCCAUUUUGAA
RNAcentral lists this long non-coding RNA (961 nucleotides) under Homo sapiens (human). RNAcentral's name for it is "HSALNT0344919". Lineage: Eukaryota; Metazoa; Chordata; Mammalia; Primates; Hominidae. The record is from RNAcentral.